This 1227-nucleotide ribosomal RNA is filed under the name Staphylococcus aureus. RNAcentral's name for it is "partial 23S ribosomal RNA". It matches the Rfam family "Bacterial large subunit ribosomal RNA", at positions 12 to 1240 of the family's 2925-position model. Lineage: Bacteria; Bacillati; Bacillota; Bacilli; Caryophanales; Staphylococcaceae. The record is from RNAcentral.
UAAGGGCGCACGGUGGAUGCCUUGGCACUAGAAGCCGAUGAAGGACGUUACUAACGACGAUAUGCUUUGGGGAGCUGUAAGUAAGCUUUGAUCCAGAGAUUUCCGAAUGGGGAAACCCAGCAUGAGUUAUGUCAUGUUAUCGAUAUGUGAAUACAUAGCAUAUCAGAAGGCACACCCGGAGAACUGAAACAUCUUAGUACCCGGAGGAAGAGAAAGAAAAUUCGAUUCCCUUAGUAGCGGCGAGCGAAACGGGAAGAGCCCAAACCAACAAGCUUGCUUGUUGGGGUUGUAGGACACUCUAUACGGAGUUACAAAGGACGACAUUAGACGAAUCAUCUGGAAAGAUGAAUCAAAGAAGGUAAUAAUCCUGUAGUCGAAAAUGUUGUCUCUCUUGAGUGGAUCCUGAGUACGACGGAGCACGUGAAAUUCCGUCGGAAUCUGGGAGGACCAUCUCCUAAGGCUAAAUACUCUCUAGUGACCGAUAGUGAACCAGUACCGUGAGGGAAAGGUGAAAAGCACCCCGGAAGGGGAGUGAAAUAGAACCUGAAACCGUGUGCUUACAAGUAGUCAGAGCCCGUUAAUGGGUGAUGGCGUGCCUUUUGUAGAAUGAACCGGCGAGUUACGAUUUGAUGCAAGGUUAAGCAGUAAAUGUGGAGCCGUAGCGAAAGCGAGUCUGAAUAGGGCGUUUAGUAUUUGGUCGUAGACCCGAAACCAGGUGAUCUACCCUUGGUCAGGUUGAAGUUCAGGUAACACUGAAUGGAGGACCGAACCGACUUACGUUGAAAAGUGAGCGGAUGAACUGAGGGUAGCGGAGAAAUUCCAAUCGAACCUGGAGAUAGCUGGUUCUCUCCGAAAUAGCUUUAGGGCUAGCCUCAAGUGAUGAUUAUUGGAGGUAGAGCACUGUUUGGACGAGGGGCCCCUCUCGGGUUACCGAAUUCAGACAAACUCCGAAUGCCAAUUAAUUUAACUUGGGAGUCAGAACAUGGGUGAUAAGGUCCGUGUUCGAAAGGGAAACAGCCCAGACCACCAGCUAAGGUCCCAAAAUAUAUGUUAAGUGGAAAAGGAUGUGGCGUUGCCCAGACAACUAGGAUGUUGGCUUAGAAGCAGCCAUCAUUUAAAGAGUGCGUAAUAGCUCACUAGUCGAGUGACACUGCGCCGAAAAUGUACCGGGGCUAAACAUAUUACCGAAGCUGUGGAUUGUCCUUUGGACAAUGGUAGGAGAGCGUU